GGGGGUUUGGGGGUUUUCCCUCGCAUAGCUGUGGCUAUGGGGUCGGCAGUCGACUCGGGGCUGUCGGGGCGGGUGAGGGGUGUGGGCCAGGAGCUUCCAGCCCCGCCUGAAGCUCCCGCUGACAUCACAUCUAGUGGUGCACAAUCCUGAAGCACAAGUCUCUUGAGGGGCGGCUGAGGGAGCUGGGAGGGCCCAGCCUGGAAAAAAGAAGGCUCAGAAGGACCUUCCCGCUCUCUACGACCACCUGACACGAGGUUGUGGCCAGCCUUGAAGCCAGUCACUGACAAUGUCACAGCAAGGUAUCAGUUUUGAUCCUGUGCAAAGACAGAAGACACAAUACCCGUGGCAUUAAAGGAAGGAGAAGCCAAGUACUGUCUACAGACGAAUGAACUUUAAUAACAAUUUUCCAGGCUCUACAGAGACCUGAAGAGAAAUGUCUGUAGAACUGCUGUUUUAAGGUGUGUGCGCUGAAGCAAAGCUACAGAGAAGCCUGACCUACAGCAGCAGAAAUACCUAAUUCACUGCCCACAAUUAUGAAAUUCCCUUUACACAGGAAAAAAUAAUCCUAUCUUAUUAUUAGACACCACACUGUAAUGGAUGUGUUCGGGGCUGAAGGUUCCCUUACAGCAUGUCCUUUUGCUCCAAGAGUGUUUGACCUCGUAUUAGGAGUUAAUUUUCUAGGCAAAUAUUAACUAAGCCCUCUGCUUGGUAUAAGCAUGGACAGAGAUGGUUUCACACACAGGCUUGACACAGACUCAGGUUGUGCAACGCCAGGUCUGUCUUGGGAUGCUGAAGCUCUGCCAAACUCUCUGGUUCUCAUGCAAUGCAGUGGCAAGGCUCAGCUGUUCCUUACGUGCUCCCAUUGACACCCCACAAACCUGGCCAAACUCAGACCCUCUUGUCACUCCACUCAGCUGAUACACCAUGUCUAAAUACAACCACGACCUAAUUACCU
This is a long non-coding RNA of Catharus ustulatus (Swainson's thrush), 955 nucleotides long. RefSeq lists it as uncharacterized. The transcript has 3 exons. The record is from RefSeq and is a predicted model, not a curated record. Lineage: Eukaryota; Metazoa; Chordata; Aves; Passeriformes; Turdidae.